This 465-nucleotide ribosomal RNA is filed under the name Vreelandella stevensii. RNAcentral describes it as "partial 16S ribosomal RNA". It matches the Rfam family "Bacterial small subunit ribosomal RNA", at positions 338 to 795 of the family's 1533-position model. The record is from RNAcentral. Lineage: Bacteria; Pseudomonadati; Pseudomonadota; Gammaproteobacteria; Oceanospirillales; Halomonadaceae.
CCUACGGGGUGCAGCAGUGGGGAAUAUUGGACAAUGGGCGAAAGCCUGAUCCAGCCAUGCCGCGUGUGUGAAGAAGGCCUUCGGGUUGUAAAGCACUUUCAGUGGGGAAGAAAGCCUUGGGGCUAAUACCCUCGAGGAAGGACAUCACCCACAGAAGAAGCACCGGCUAACUCCGUGCCAGCAGCCGCGGUAAUACGGAGGGUGCGAGCGUUAAUCGGAAUUACUGGGCGUAAAGCGCGCGUAGGCGGUCUGAUAAGCCGGUUGUGAAAGCCCCGGGCUCAACCUGGGAACGGCAUCCGGAACUGUCAGGCUAGAGUGCAGGAGAGGAAGGUAGAAUUCCCGGUGUAGCGGUGAAAUGCGUAGAGAUCGGGAGGAAUACCAGUGGCGAAGGCGGCCUUCUGGACUGACACUGACGCUGAGGUGCGAAAGCGUGGGUAGCAAACAGGAUUAGAUACCCUUGUAGUC